Molecule: long non-coding RNA, 289 nt
Filed under: Takifugu rubripes (torafugu)
Lineage: Eukaryota; Metazoa; Chordata; Actinopteri; Tetraodontiformes; Tetraodontidae
Description: lncRNA (ENSTRUG00000026356.1)
Source: RNAcentral
CCUGCUGGAGGUCAGCCCUGACCUGUGGUGGGCGGGGCUUAGUUGGUCCAACUUCCUGGUCCCGCCCAGGAAGUCGUUAAGGGUACGGACCACAGGUGUGUCUCCUCUGGAGAAAUGUUUGGAGCAACAUUCACCUGCAUGUGGAUUCAGUCCUCAGCAGCUCAGAACCAGAACCAGGAAACCCGCAGAACUAAAGGGGCGACGGAGCGGAGAACUCGGAGUUGGCCCGGAGCCCGUCUGGAACCUGGAACGUGAUCCCGGAACUUCCUCCUCUCCCGUAUCUGCAUAG